Molecule: non-coding RNA, 235 nt
Filed under: Paenibacillus sp.
Lineage: Bacteria; Bacillati; Bacillota; Bacilli; Caryophanales; Paenibacillaceae
Description: T-box sequence
Rfam family: T-box leader
About the family: Uncharged tRNA acts as the effector for transcription antitermination of genes in the T-box leader family.
Source: RNAcentral
AUAAAAGCUGUAAUCAAGGACAUGAAUCCUUAACGAGAUCCGUUCAGAGAGAGAGGACAUCGGCUGAAAGCCUCUUCGGUUAUCCUAAGGAUUUACCACCUUGUAGCUGCGAUAUUGAAAUCGGGGAUUUCCUUGAGAGUAAACUUCGCCGGGUAUUCCCGUUACAGAAUGGAUUGAGGAUUCGCUUCUUGGCGAGUCGAAUGAGGGUGGAACCACGAGCGCACUCGUCCCUUUU